AUCGCUUCUCGGCCUUUUGGCUAAGAUCAAGUGUAGUAUCUGUUCUUAUCAGUGUAAUAACUUUAUUGUAUAUCUUAAAGUUGCUGAGAAAGUAGAUCUUAAAAGUUUUCAUCACACACACAAAUUCUGUAACUGUGGUGAUCAUUUUGCAAUACAUACAAAUAUCAAAU
The sequence is a small nuclear RNA, 170 nucleotides long. Its record names the gene U2. It matches the Rfam family "U2 spliceosomal RNA". From Rfam's summary of the family: U2 is a small nuclear RNA (snRNA) component of the spliceosome (involved in pre-mRNA splicing). Complementary binding between U2 snRNA (in an area lying towards the 5' end but 3' to hairpin I) and the branchpoint sequence (BPS) of the intron results the bulging out of an unpaired adenosine, on the BPS, which initiates a nucleophilic attack at the intronic 5' splice site, thus starting the first of two transesterification reactions that mediate splicing. The record is from Ensembl.